RNAcentral lists this ribosomal RNA (397 nucleotides) under uncultured bacterium. RNAcentral describes it as "partial 16S ribosomal RNA". It matches the Rfam family "Bacterial small subunit ribosomal RNA", at positions 359 to 774 of the family's 1533-position model. The record is from RNAcentral.
GAAUAUUGCACAAUGGAGGAAACGCUGAUGCAGCGACGCCGCGUGAGUGAUGAAGGCUUUCGAGUCGUAAAACUCUGUCCUAGGGGACGAUAAUGACGGUACCCUGGGAGGACGCCCCGGCUAAUUACGUGCCAGCCACCGCGGUAAUAAGUAGGGGGCGAGCGUUGUCUGGAAUUAUUGGGCGUAAAGGGUUCGCAGGCGGCCUUUUAAGUCAGAUGUGAAAGAUCACGGCUCAACCGUGGUAAGCAUUUGAAACUGGAAGGCUUGAGUUAAGGAGAGGAAAGUGGAAUUCCUAGUGUAGCGGUGAAAUGCGUAGAUAUUAGGAGGAAUACCAGUGGCGAAGGCGACUUUCUGGACUUAUACUGACGCUGAGGAACGAAAGCGUGGGGAGCAAACA